AUAAGAAUCCCACCAAGAUCUUGCAGAAUCUAAAUCCUCAGUAAAGCACACCCCAGAAUGCUCCCACAGCAAUGGGUCAUGGGUGACACUGGACGCCAGGUCGGUCUCUCACUCCUCACAUUGAGAACAUCUACAUCAGACAGCUGCUUGAUACAUUGAUUCCGUGGGCCAGGUCCAAUCACUCCUCCAAUGACGUAUAUCUCACCUCCCAGUCCAAUCAUACCAAACCCAAUCCGGCUCUGGAACUCCGAUGCAGAUGAUACAACCUCAUC
Molecule: long non-coding RNA, 272 nt
Filed under: Phoenix dactylifera (date palm)
Lineage: Eukaryota; Viridiplantae; Streptophyta; Magnoliopsida; Arecales; Arecaceae
Description: long non-coding RNA (PDAC_LNC004497)
Source: RNAcentral